GAUGAACGCUGGCGGCGUGCCUAAUACAUGCAAGUCGAACGAGUUCUCGUUGAUGAUCGGUGCUUGCACCGAGAUUCAACAUGGAACGAGUGGCGGACGGGUGAGUAACACGUGGGUAACCUGCCCUUAAGUGGGGGAUAACAUUUGGAAACAGAUGCUAAUACCGCAUAGAUCCAAGAACCGCAUGGUUCUUGGCUGAAAGAUGGCGUAAGCUAUCGCUUUUGGAUGGACCCGCGGCGUAUUAGCUAGUUGGUGAGGUAAUGGCUCACCAAGGCGAUGAUACGUAGCCGAACUGAGAGGUUGAUCGGCCACAUUGGGACUGAGACACGGCCCAAACUCCUACGGGAGGCAGCAGUAGGGAAUCUUCCACAAUGGACGCAAGUCUGAUGGAGCAACGCCGCGUGAGUGAAGAAGGCUUUCGGGUCGUAAAACUCUGUUGUUGGAGAAGAAUGGUCGGCAGAGUAACUGUUGUCGGCGUGACGGUAUCCAACCAGAAAGCCACGGCUAACUACGUGCCAGCAGCCGCGGUAAUACGUAGGUGGCAAGCGUUAUCCGGAUUUAUUGGGCGUAAAGCGAGCGCAGGCGGUUUUUUAAGUCUGAUGUGAAAGCCCUCGGCUUAACCGAGGAAGCGCAUCGGAAACUGGGAAACUUGAGUGCAGAAGAGGACGGUGGAACUCCAUGUGUAGCGGUGAAAUGCGUAGAUAUAUGGAAGAACACCAGUGGCGAAGGCGGCUGUCUGGUCUGUAACUGACGCUGAGGCUCGAAAGCAUGGGUAGCGAACAGGAUUAGAUACCCUGGUAGUCCAUGCCGUAAACGAUGAAUGCUAGGUGUUGGAGGGUUUCCGCCCUUCAGUGCCGCAGCUAACGCAUUAAGCAUUCCGCCUGGGGAGUACGGCCGCAAGGUUGAAACUCAAAGGAAUUGACGGGGGCCCGCACAAGCGGUGGAGCAUGUGGUUUAAUUCGAAGCAACGCGAAGAACCUUACCAGGUCUUGACAUCUUUUGAUCACCUGAGAGAUCAGGCUUCCCCUUCGGGGGCAAAAUGACAGGUGGUGCAUGGUUGUCGUCAGCUCGUGUCGUGAGAUGUUGGGUUAAGUCCCGCAACGAGCGCAACCCUUAUGACUAGUUGCCAGCAUUUAGUUGGGCACUCUAGUAAGACUGCCGGUGACAAACCGGAGGAAGGUGGGGAUGACGUCAAAUCAUCAUGCCCCUUAUGACCUGGGCUACACACGUGCUACAAUGGAUGGUACAACGAGUUGCGAGACCGCGAGGUCAAGCUAAUCUCUUAAAGCCAUUCUCAGUUCGGACUGUAGGCUGCAACUCGCCUACACGAAGUCGGAAUCGCUAGUAAUCGCGGAUCAGCACGCCGCGGUGAAUACGUUCCCGGGCCUUGUACACACCGCCCGUCACACCAUGAGAGUUUGUAACACCCGAAGCCGGUGGCGUAACCCUUUUAGGGAGCGAGCCGUCUAAGGUGGGACAAAUGAUUAGGGUG
Molecule: ribosomal RNA, 1492 nt
Filed under: Lacticaseibacillus paracasei
Lineage: Bacteria; Bacillati; Bacillota; Bacilli; Lactobacillales; Lactobacillaceae
Description: bacterial SSU rRNA
Rfam family: Bacterial small subunit ribosomal RNA
Source: RNAcentral